This 71-nucleotide transfer RNA is filed under the name Marmota monax (woodchuck). Its description in RNAcentral is "tRNA.Ala". Lineage: Eukaryota; Metazoa; Chordata; Mammalia; Rodentia; Sciuridae. The record is from RNAcentral.
GGUUGUGGCUCAGUGGUAGAGUGCUUGCCUAGCAUGCAUGCAUAAGGCACUGGGUUCAAUCUCCGGCACCA